RNAcentral lists this ribosomal RNA (271 nucleotides) under uncultured bacterium. Its description in RNAcentral is "partial 16S ribosomal RNA". It matches the Rfam family "Bacterial small subunit ribosomal RNA", at positions 524 to 794 of the family's 1533-position model. The record is from RNAcentral.
UACGGAGGGUGCAAGCGUUGUUCGGAAUUAUUGGGCGUAAAGCGCGUGUAGGCGGUUUUUUAAGUCUGAUGUGAAAGCCCCGGGCUCAACCUGGGGAGUGCAUUGGAUACUGGCUAGCUAGAGUGUUGCAGGGGAGACUGGAAUUCCUGGUGUAGCGGUGAAAUGCGCAGAUAUCAGGAGGAACACCGGUGGCGAAGGCGGGUCUCUGGGCAACUACUGACGCUGAGGAGCGAAAGCGUGGGGAGCGAACAGGAUUAGAUACCCGGGUAGU